This 75-nucleotide transfer RNA is filed under the name Bacteroidales bacterium. Its description in RNAcentral is "tRNA-Val". It matches the Rfam family "tRNA". Rfam says of the family: Transfer RNA (tRNA) molecules are approximately 80 nucleotides in length. Lineage: Bacteria; Pseudomonadati; Bacteroidota; Bacteroidia; Bacteroidales. The record is from RNAcentral.
GGGGCGUUAGCUCAGUUGGUUUAGAGCACUACCUUGACAGGGUAGGGGUCACUGGUUCGAGUCCCGUACGCCUCA